Long non-coding RNA from Oncorhynchus tshawytscha (Chinook salmon), 509 nucleotides. The record is from Ensembl. Lineage: Eukaryota; Metazoa; Chordata; Actinopteri; Salmoniformes; Salmonidae.
GGGAGGCCCACAGGGGAGGCAGUGUCUGUCAGCCCUCCAGGUCUAGUUUGACCUCACAGGGGAACAGGAGGCCACAGGGGAGGCAGUGUCUGUCAGCCCUCCAGGUCUAGUUUGACCUCACAGGGGAACAGGAGGCCACAGGGGAGGCAUUCUGUCAGCCCUCCAGGGUUUGACCUCACAGGGGAAUAGGAGGCCCACGGGGAAUAGGGGGCCACAGGGGAACAGGACAGUGUCUGUCAGCCCUCCAGGUCUAGUUUGACCUCACAGGGGAAUAGGGGGCCACAGGGGAACAGGACAGUGUCUGUCAGCCCUCCAGGUCUCGUUUGACCUCACAUCUCCCUGGUUAAAUGGAACUGGACUCGUCACUCGCUGCUUCUCAAUGUUUUAUGGAGUGUCUGUAUGUUAUUAUUUGAUCACAUUUUAAAACUACUUAUGUGUUGAUCUCUAAAUACCCUGUGAACUAUUUUGAUUGAGAAUAAAUAAAAAAUAAUAAAUAGAUUUAUGUCAAA